UGGACAGAUUAUUGUAUUCGACUGUAUUCACGGUGUGAAACAGGGGAUUACAAAUAUUUUUAAAUGAAAAGUGAAUUAAUUAACAUAAUAGACUCCU
RNAcentral lists this microRNA precursor (97 nucleotides) under Nicotiana sylvestris (wood tobacco). Its description in RNAcentral is "MIR6152 microRNA precursor family". It matches the Rfam family "MIR6152 microRNA precursor family". Lineage: Eukaryota; Viridiplantae; Streptophyta; Magnoliopsida; Solanales; Solanaceae. The record is from Rfam by way of RNAcentral.